CCAGACUCCUACGGGAGGCAGCAGUGAGGAAUAUUGGUCAAUGGGCUUACGCCUGAACCAGCCAAGUAGCGUGAAGGAUGACUGCCCUAUGGGUUGUAAACUUCUUUUAUAAAGGAAUAAAACGAGGCACGUGUGCCUUUUUGCAUGUACUUUAUGAAUAAGGAUCGGCUAACUCCGUGCCAGCAGCCGCGGUAAUACGGAGGAUCCGAGCGUUAUCCGGAUUUAUUGGGUUUAAAGGGUGCGCAGGCGGAGGUGCAAGUCAGCGGUCAAAUUGCGGGGCUCAACCCCGUACUGCCGUUGAAACUGCAUCCCUUGAGUGCGCGAGAAGUAUGCGGAAUGCGUGGUGUAGCGGUGAAAUGCAUAGAUAUCACGCAGAACUCCGAUUGCGAAGGCAGCAUACCGGCGCGCAACUGACGCUCAUGCACGAAAGCGUGGGUAUCGAACAGGAUUAGAUACCCGAGUA
This 463-nucleotide ribosomal RNA is filed under the name uncultured bacterium. RNAcentral describes it as "bacterial SSU rRNA". It matches the Rfam family "Bacterial small subunit ribosomal RNA", at positions 331 to 792 of the family's 1533-position model. The record is from RNAcentral.